Molecule: ribosomal RNA, 767 nt
Filed under: uncultured bacterium
Lineage: Bacteria
Description: bacterial SSU rRNA
Rfam family: Bacterial small subunit ribosomal RNA
Source: RNAcentral
ACGCUGGCGGCAGGCCUAAUACAUGCAAGUCGAACGCAAAACUUUCACCGAAUGCUUGCAUUCACCGGAAGUUUUGAGUGGCGAACGGGUGAGUAACACGUGGGUAACCUGCCCAGAAGAGGGGAAUAACACUUGGAAACAGGUGCUAAUACCGCAUAAUAACAAAAACCGCAUGGUUUUUGUUUGAAAGAUGGUUUUGCUAUCACUUCUGGAUGGACCCGCGGCGUAUUAGCUAGUUGGUAAGGUAAAGGCUUACCAAGGCAAUGAUACGUAGCCGAACUGAGAGGUUGAUCGGCCACAUUGGGACUGAGACACGGCCCAAACUCCUACGGGAGGCAGCAGUAGGGAAUCUUCCACAAUGGACGAAAGUCUGAUGGAGCAACGCCGCGUGAGUGAAGAAGGUUUUCGGAUCGUAAAACUCUGUUGUUAGAGAAGAACGUGUGUGAGAGUAACUGCUCAUGCAGUGACGGUAUCUAACCAGAAAGCCACGGCUAACUACGUGCCAGCAGCCGCGGUAAUACGUAGGUGCAAGCGUUGUCCGGAUUUAUUGGGCGUAAAGGGAACGCAGGCGGUUUUUUAAGUCUGAUGUGAAAGCCUUCGGCUUAACCGAAGUCAUGCAUUGGAAACUGAAAGACUUGAGUGCAGAAGAGGAGAGUGGAACUCCAUGUGUAGCGGUGAAAUGCGUAGAUAUAUGGAAGAACACCAGUGGCGAAAGCGGCUCUCUGGUCUGUAACUGACGCUGAGGUUCGAAAGUGUGGGUAGCAAAC